CUAAACGAUACAUCUACGACCCAAAUUCAUAUACCAGUGCAAUGAGGGCUCUCAAACAGAAAUAUGGUUAGCCAAGACAGCUGGUGUCGUGAGGUGCCAUGACGAGAAGGAGUGACUGAGGAAGAUCGUCCACAAGAUGGAAGCUGAGGCCAGGAGAGAGGCUUCAGGAGGAUCAGAGAUCAUCUUCAGCACAGCAGACAUCCCACAGAGAGCUGUGCUACUGGGCUUCCAGGAGAUCGUCAUGAGGAGACUUCGCACAGCAAAAUCUUAAAUAAAAUGAAAGAGAUUCAGCAUUGAUGUUGAGGAAGACAACUAAGGUGUACGACGUGCUCUACCUUAAAUCGUCCGCGGUGUUGGAACGUGAGAACCUGAGGGAUGAAGGAGCGUGCCAAGCUCCAUCUGACGGGCAGGAGCAAGUUCAGCGAUGGACUUGUGGUUCUGUGAACAGCACAAAUGCCAGGUGCUUUUAUUUUGAAAGGGGCCGGGAGAAAAAGAAACGAGGG
This is a long non-coding RNA of Oreochromis aureus, 503 nucleotides long. Lineage: Eukaryota; Metazoa; Chordata; Actinopteri; Cichliformes; Cichlidae. The record is from Ensembl.